This 251-nucleotide long non-coding RNA is filed under the name Panax ginseng (ginseng). RNAcentral describes it as "long non-coding RNA (PGIN_LNC012280)". The record is from RNAcentral. Lineage: Eukaryota; Viridiplantae; Streptophyta; Magnoliopsida; Apiales; Araliaceae.
AUGGUAUGUUAAGUUCUAUUAAUGUGAGGUGCUAUGGUUGGAAGUACCAUGAGUGUCACAAGUUGGAUUAAUGAAGUAAGUUGUUAUAAAAGUAGCAGAUAUUUAUCUAAAUAUUGGUUAAUAUAGUAAACCAAGUUUCAAAUCCAAUAUUUUGAUUACAUGAUUAUUUGAGUAGAAAAUUUUGUGUUAUAUGUCGAACGUAUACGAUGAUACAAAACUCGCUAACACUUAGGCAAAAAGCCGAAAAACAG